ACGGAAUCUAAAUGGGUCAUCCAGUGGCUACCCAAAUCCAAACAGAAAGCAAAGAGGGCAAUAUUAACGGCAUCUUCCUUGGAUGGUCUCAGGAGCACGAACUAUUCCUCUCCAAAGAGCUGCAGGCUUUCGACAGCCUUAUUAGGUAAUAUUCUUAUACCUGUUUACUGGAGGAAACUGACGCACAGUGGUAGUAACAAGCCCAAGGUCACAGAACUCUGGUGGGAGGGGGUUACAAAGACAAGACCUGUGGAUCCAGAGCUUGGUGCCAGAGGCUUUGCUUAUAUCCAGUCAUUCAAUUCCUACUGCAGUCUUCGGAGGUCAGCAUCAGAUGUCAGACUCUGUGAAGCUGACAUGUCUUGCCCAAGGUGGCAGAGGCAAACAGGGCUGGGGUUUGCUCAUUCCAAAGCCCACAGUAUUUUCACUUCAGGUCACCUUACCUCUCUGUGCUUGUACUUCCUGAUCUGUUAAAUGGGAUAAUAACAGUACACGCCCCUGGGUUUGUUGUGGGAAUGACACACCUGGCCAUAGUGAGCUCUGUAAGUGGACGAUAUUGUUGUUAUUUUAUCACGAGGCCUCCUCCCUCAGAUCAGGAGCUGGCCACUCCCUGUUGCAGGAGAACCAGAUCCCGUGGGAGCCCCUUCCCGGCCCAGGUGCUCCUGAGGCCCAGCACAGGUGCUG
Molecule: long non-coding RNA, 681 nt
Filed under: Aotus nancymaae (Ma's night monkey)
Lineage: Eukaryota; Metazoa; Chordata; Mammalia; Primates; Aotidae
Description: lncRNA (ENSANAG00000039552.1)
Source: RNAcentral